GCCAUGUUUCUUCAAGCUCCAGAGUCUCAGACAGUUUCAGCUUCAGCACCUGUCCUCAGUCCAGUAGCAGUGUGUGCCACUGUGUCCACUCAGAGGGCUUGCUCCCUGAAGACCACAAAUGGAUUUUAAAGACAGUAAUGAAGGUGGGGCCCAAGGGAAAACUGCACCUUCAAGACCACCUGAAGCUCUGGUUCUUUCCCCCACAACCAAGCCCUAUCUACCACCCGGCUCCUGCUCCCGACCGCUUUUUUGCACAUCCACUUCUUGUCUGGAUGCCCUACAAGUUGUGGAAAGUGAAGGUCGUCUGUCCCAACCCUGUCUGUGGACAGCAUCAGCUCACAGGAGGCGGGCUGCACAAGAGGGCAUGACAGGUCCUGGAUGUGGACAGGAUCUAUAAUAUGGUGACAGAGAUUCUAACCUGCACCAAAUGUAGAUCCACCCAUGUGUCGUGGAACCAGACUGUCCUGAAACAACUGGACUUGGCUCACAGAUCUGAAUUUCGGGUCAUCCUGACACAAAAGUUUGCGUGUGACAUCCGGGUGAUCCAUCUUCUGCGGGAAAGAGGCCUCGGUAACAGCCCAACGCGCGUUUUAAAGCAGCUGUUGCCCAUGGCAUUUCCUGAGACUCCAGAGCCAGCUGUGGUGCCCAGCUGUAAAUGGCUCCUCUCUGUGGGAAAUGAGCAUGGUCAGAUUCUCAUCAGUGUGCUGACUGCUCAGGAGGGAGCUGGCCUCUACAUG
Long non-coding RNA from Perca fluviatilis (European perch), 737 nucleotides. RefSeq lists it as uncharacterized. NCBI's taxonomy places the organism in Eukaryota, Metazoa, Chordata, Actinopteri, Perciformes, Percidae. The record is from RefSeq and is a predicted model, not a curated record. The transcript has 3 exons.